GAGACCAAGUGUCCAGACACAGGAGCCUGUCGGGGAGGACAUGGGACGGGGGAUGACAACGAGACUUCUUCACAGCAGCAGCAGCCAACCACGACAAUGUCUACAUCUCUAGUCAAAUGCUACAAGUCAAGCCAGUGAGGUCAAGUGUGUGUGGCUGGACUGGGCAGAGGUGACACUCAUCCAUCGUGGACACUAUACUGGCACAGAUGACAUCAGCCUCACUACUCUGGAUAUUGACCUUGAUCUUGGCCAAGUUUCCUGGCCCGAAGCCUUCUGGUGGAAAUAUUGAGCAGGGGAGGGAGUGUUUCCUCCUAAGAAUUCACAUAAAGGGAAUUGUUGCUUUAGGGGAAGUGGUGGGUUUCUGAGCCUACAAGCAGGGCUGCAGGGCUCUGAUGGCAAUAUGUAUGUGAACUGAUGAACUCCACAAUGGGUCCUGCCAUGUCAUCUGGUGUGGCUGAGACUGGUGAUGGCCUUUGAGGGUCAAGUGUCCACGCAUCAAUGCUUCUGUGCU
Nannospalax galili (Upper Galilee mountains blind mole rat) is the source of this 511-nucleotide long non-coding RNA. RefSeq lists it as uncharacterized. The transcript is spliced from 3 exons. The record is from RefSeq and is a predicted model, not a curated record. NCBI's taxonomy places the organism in Eukaryota, Metazoa, Chordata, Mammalia, Rodentia, Spalacidae.